CGGGCGUCGAUGUCGAUUUGGAGGUUGUGCCCUUGAGGCGUGGCUUCCGGAGCUAACGCGUUAAAUCGACCGCCUGGGGAGUACGGCCGCAAGGUUAAAACUCAAAUGAAUUGACGGGGGCCCGCACAAGCGGUGGAGCAUGUGGUUUAAUUCGAUGCAACGCGAAGAACCUUACCUGGUCUUGACAUCCACAGAACUUAGCAGAGAUGCUUUGGUGCCUUCGGGAACUGUGAGACAGGUGCUGCAUGGCUGUCGUCAGCUCGUGUUGUGAAAUGUUGGGUUAAGUCCCGCAACGAGCGCAACCCUUAUCCUUUGUUGCCAGCGGUUCGGCCGGGAACUCAAAGGAGACUGCCAGUGAUAAACUGGAGGAAGGUGGGGAUGACGUCAAGUCAUCAUGGCCCUUACGACCAGGGCUACACACGUGCUACAAUGGCAUAUACAAAGAGAAGCGACCUCGCGAGAGCAAGCGGACCUCAUAAAGUAUGUCGUAGUCCGGAUUGGAGUCUGCAACUCGACUCCAUGAAGUCGGAAUCGCUAGUAAUCGUAGAUCAGAAUGCUACGGUGAAUACGUUCCCGGGCCUUGUACACACCGCCCGUCACACCAUGGGAGUGGGUUGCAAAAGAAGUAGGUAGCUUAACCUUCGGGAGGGCGCUUACCACUUUGUGAUUCAUGACUGGGGUGAAGUCGUACAAGGGUAACCA
RNAcentral lists this ribosomal RNA (702 nucleotides) under Klebsiella pneumoniae. RNAcentral's name for it is "bacterial SSU rRNA". It matches the Rfam family "Bacterial small subunit ribosomal RNA", at positions 800 to 1502 of the family's 1533-position model. The record is from RNAcentral. Lineage: Bacteria; Pseudomonadati; Pseudomonadota; Gammaproteobacteria; Enterobacterales; Enterobacteriaceae.